This 1981-nucleotide ribosomal RNA is filed under the name Pectinopygus sulae. RNAcentral's name for it is "SSU rRNA". It matches the Rfam family "Eukaryotic small subunit ribosomal RNA". Lineage: Eukaryota; Metazoa; Arthropoda; Insecta; Psocodea; Philopteridae. The record is from RNAcentral.
AAAGAUUAAGCCAUGCAUGUCUCAGUGCAAGCCAAAUUAAGGUGAAACCGCGAAAGGCUCAUUAAAUCAGCUAUGGUUUAUUAGAUGGUACGCGCUUGUACUUGGAUAACUGUGGCAAUUCUAGAGCUAAUACAUGCUAACCGAGUUCCGACCGCUCUCAAGGCGGAAGGAAUGCUUUUAUUAGAUCAAAACCAUCGAGGGCUCCUUUGGAGUUUGUAAUUACCUGUAUGACCAAGAAUAACUUUGAGCUGAUCGCACGGUCCCGCACCGGCGACGCAUCUUUCAAAUGUCUGACUUAUCAACUUUCGAUGGUAGCUUGCGCCUACCAUGGUCAUAACGGGUAACGGGGAAUUAGGGUUCGAUUCCGGAGAGGGAGCCUGAGAAACGGCUACCACAUCCAAGGAAGGCAGCAGGCGCGCAAAUUACCCACUCCCGGCACGGGGAAGUAGUGACGAAAAAUAACGAUGCAGAACUCUUUCCGAGGGUCUGCAAUCGGAAUGAGCACACUCUAAAUCAUUUAACGAGUAUCCAUUGGAGGGCAAGUCUGGUGCCAGCAGCCGCGGUAAUUCCAGCUCCAAUAGCGUAUAUUAAAGUUGUUGCGGCUAAAAAGCUCGUAGUUGGAUCUGUGUACCGCGAUGUCGGUUCACCGCCCGUCGGUGUUUAACUGACAUGCCGCGGCACGUCCUGCCGGUUGGCGGAGCGGGGGAUCGCGGGCUUUCGCUAGUCCGCGGUCUUCGGGGUCCGGCCGCUCAAGGGAGUUUUUUCGCGUUUCCGGGGUGGUCGACGCGGUCGCCUAGCGGUCGCGCUCGGCUCAUCUAACGGGGCCGGAAUCUCCUGGUCGGUUCUUCGAUCCGCGUCCGUCAGAUUUUCGAUCCCGUGGCGGUGCUCUUUGCCGAGUGUCGCGGCGGGCCGGCACGUUUACUUUGAACAAAUUUGAGUGCUUAAAGCAGGCCUGAAGAAGCCAGAAAAUCGUGUGCAUGGAAUAAUGGAAUAGGGCCUUGGUUCUAUUUUGUUGGUUUCCGGAAUUUCCGAGGCAAUGAUUAAUAGGGACAGGCGGGGGCAUUAGUAUUGCGACGUUAGAGGUGAAAUUCUUGGAUCGUCGCAAGACUAACCUAAGCGAAAGCAUUUGCCAAGGAUGCUUCUUUUAAUCAAGAACGAAAGUUAGAGGUUCGAAGGCGAUCAGAUACCGCCCUAGUUCUAACCGUAAACGAUGCCAGCUAGCGAUCCGUCGAAGUUCCUCCGAUGACUCGACGGGCAGCCUCCGGGAAACCAAAGCCUUUAGGUUCCGGGGGAAGUAUGGUUGCAAAGCUGAAACUUAAAGGAAUUGACGGAAGGGCACCACCAGGAGUGGAGCUUGCGGCUUAAUUUGACUCAACACGGGAAACCUCACCAGGCCCGGACACUAGGAGGAUUGACAGAUUAAUAGCUCUUUCUUGAUUCAGUGGGUGGUGGUGCAUGGCCGUUCUUAGUUGGUGGAGUGAUUUGUCUGGUUAAUUCCGAUAACGAACGAGACUCUAGCCUGUUAACUAGGCGAACAUAAUUCCGGCAUCAAUUCAAAAAGCUGCCGGCGGCGUGAUUUCUUCUUAGAGGGACAAGCGGCUUCUAGCCGCACGAGAUUGAGCAAUAACAGGUCUGUGAUGCCCUUAGAUGUUCUGGGCCGCACGCGUGCUACACUGAAGGAAUCAACGUGUCUCUCGUCCUAGGCCGAAAGGUCCGGGAAACCCGUUGAAUCUCCUUCGUGCUAGGAAUUGGGGCUUGCAAUUGUUUCCCAUGAACGAGGAAUUCCCAGUAAGCGCGAGUCAUAAGCUCGCGUUGAUUACGUCCCUGCCCUUUGUACACACCGCCCGUCGCUAUUACCGAUUGAACGAUUUAGUGAGGUCUUCGGACCUGUACGCGGGAGUCGCUUCGCGGCGACUUCCGAUGCUGCGGGAAAGACGACCGAACUUGAUCGUUUAGAGGAAGUAAAAGUCGUAACAAGGUU